UCCAAGCAUUUCAACAUAGAUAUCAGCAAUCAAUCAACAAGACUAAUGAAAUGGGGAAAAGGAAGACAUUAGAACUGCUAAAGUUUUCCCUAGAUACAGAUCUAGGAUCAGCUUCCCCUCCCCAAACCUAACAAGGACCAUUCGCGGGGGGAAUUCAAACCUGAUCCAAAGCCAGGGUCUAUUUGGGGAACUUGUCCCCUCCCCCACAACACGACACGUGGAUGCGGCUUCCUCAGUUCACCAUGCACAUAAAGAAAACAGCAGUGUAUUUCAGCUGCAAGCCUGGGAAAGAACUGAGAAAACGUACUAAAGAGUCAAGACAGACACCAGAAAGAGGCCCAAGAAGACUUGGACGCAGGAACAGAGGACAGCGAGGGAUGUUCAGAACUCACUCAGUCGGUUUGGAGAAUGACUUCUCAACCCAAGACUGAGAGCAGCUGUGAGAAAGCAUCAGUUUGGAUGCAUUUGGGAAAAUGUAAAGUGCUAAAGAAGGUUCCCGGCAAAGAGGAUUGCCUGUUAUGGGUCAGAGCCAGCUCUCACAAACAGAACAUGGAAAGACAUGAAAACCUGGUGCACAACAAAAUGCAAACAGAAAAGGCUCUCCGCAGCCGGUAAAAGGCUAGCAUGCCACGAAGAUGAAGUUCACACAGGUGAAUGGAAGAGUUGUAAAAGACAAAAAGCUUUUUAGACAUAGCUCCAAAAUGCAGGUGCUAGUUGAGCUAGUUCUGUUUUGUGGUGGAAAACUUAGUGUGUCGAGCAUAAUACGUCAACCCUGUUACCAAUAGAUAAAAAGGCUAGACAUUUUUUUGCAAUUUCAUUUUUUGUCUGAAACGUCCAAUUCAAAAGCUUCCAUUCCCCUUGUCACAAGGAAUUUAUGCAUGAUUUAAUAUGAAACCCUGCCUCCCGAGUGGCGCAAUGGUCUUAGGCACUGCAUCGCAUUUGCUAGCUGUGCCACUAUAGAUCCUGGUUCUAGUCCAGGAGACCCAUGGGUUGGCGCACAAUUGUCCCAGCGUCGUCCUGGUUAGGUUUGUCUGGCAGGGAUGUCCUUGUCCCAUUGCGCUCUAGCAACCCCUGUGGCGGGCCGGGCGCAUGCAUGCUGACACGGUCGCCAGACAAAGGCUAGCAUGCCACGAAGAUGAAGUUCACACAGGUGAAUGGUGUACGGUGUUUCCUCCGACACAUUGGUGUGGCUGGCUUCCGGGUUAAACGGGAAUUGUGUCAGGAAGCAGUGCAGCUUGGCAGGGUCGUGUUUCGGAGGACGCAUGGCUCUCUACCUUCGCCUCUCCCGAGUCCGUAGGGAGUGUGCAGCAAUGAGACAAGACUGUAACUACUAAUUGGAUACCAUGAAAAUUGGGGAGAUAAAGGGGUUAAAAGAAAAAAAUGUACAGGAAAAUAUAAUAUAAUGUUAUGGUCAGCCUUUAAUUAAUAGGCACUUAUUGUAGUCAUUUUUUAAAUGUAAUCUCUUGAGAUGGUAAACCAUUUUCUAUUUUUGUUUUUAUUCAUUUGGAUACGGUCUUUAUUUUAUUUCUUUAUUUCACCUUUAUUUAACCAGGCAGGAAAGUUGAUAACAAGUUCUCAUUUACAAUUGUGACCUGGCCAAGAUAAAGCAAAACAGUUUGACACGUACAACGACACAGAGUUACACAUGGAGUAAAACAAACAUACAGUCAAUAAUACAGUAUAAACACGUCUAUAUACGAUGUGAGCAAAUGAGGUGAGAUAAGGGAGGUAAAGGCAAAAAAAGGCCAUGGUGGCAAAGUAAAUACAAUAUAGCAAGUAAAACACUGGAAUGGUAGAUGUGCAGUGGAAGAAUGUGCAAAGUAGAAAUACAAAUAAUGGGGUGCAAAGGAGCAAAAUAAAUAAAUAAAAUAAAUACAGUAGGGAAAGAGGUAGUUUUUUGGGCUAAAUUAUAGGUGGGCUAUGUACAGGUGUAGUAAUCUGUGAGCUGCUCUGACAGUUGGUGCUUAAAGCUAGUGAGGGAGAUAUGCGUUUCCAGUUUCAGAGAUUUUUGUAGUUCGUUCCAGUCAUUGGCAGCAGAGAACUGGAAGGAGAGGCGGCCAAAGAAAGAAUUGGUUUUGGGGGUGACUAGAGAGAUUUUCCUGCUGGAGCGUGUGCUACAGGUGGGUGAUGCUAUGGUGACCAGCGAGCUGAGAUAAGGGGGACUUUACCUAGCAGGGUCUUGUAGAUGACAUGGAGCCAGUGGGUUUGGCGACGAGUAUGAAGCGAGGGCCAGUCAACGAGAAGAGCGUACAGGUCGCAAUGGUGGGUAGUAUAUGGGGCUUUGGUGACAAAACGGAUGGCACUGUGAUAACACUGCAUCCAAUUUGUUAGGUAGGGUAUUGGCUAUUUUGUAAAUGACAUCGCCGAAGUCGAGGAUUGGUAGGAUGGUCAGUUUUACAAGAGUAUGUUUGGCAGCAUGAGUGAAGGAUGCUUUGUUGCAAAAUAGGAAGCCAAUUCUAGAUUUAAAUUUGGAUUGGAGAUGUUUGAUGCGGGUCUGGAAGGAGAGUUUACAUUCUAACCAGACACCUAGGUAUUUGUUGUUGUCCCCGUAUUCUAAGUCAGAGCCAUCCAGAGUAGUGAUGUUGGACAGGCGGGCAGGUGCAGGCAGCAAUCGGUUGAAGAGCAUGCAUUUAGUUUUACUUGUAUUUAAGAGCAAUUGUAGGCCACGGAAGGAGAGUUGUAUGCCAUUGAAGCUUGCCUGGAGGGUUGUUAACACAGUGUCCAAAGAAGGGCCAGAAAUAUACAGAAUGGUGUCGUCUGCGUAGAGAUGGAUCAGAGACUCACCAGCAGCAAGGGCGACAUCAUUGAUGUAUACAGAGAAGAGAGUCGGUCCAAGAAUUGAACCCUGUGGCACCCCCAUAGAGACUGCCAGAGGUCCGGACAGCAGACCCUCUGAUUUGACACAUUGAACUCUAUCAGAGAAGUAGUUGGUGAUCCAGGCGAGGCAAUCAUUUGAGAAACCAAGGUUGUCGAGUCUCCCGAUGAGGAUGUGGUGAUUGAAAUGCUUGGCCAGAUCAAUGAAUAUGGCUGCACAGUAAUGUUUCUUAUCAAUGGUGGAUAAGAUCGUUUAGGACCUUGACUACACUCAAUAAGUAGGAGUAACUUACAAAGCUCUGGACAUUCUUAUUUUUUUAUGACUUGAGGAGCCUGUUAUCGGCUAUACUGGUCUGCAUUUCUGCCAUGCUGUCUAUAUUUUCAGCCAUCUCUCCUGUGCAUUUCUUGAAUGCCACUUUCAACCUCCAAGUCAUUCAGCCAACUGUCCAGGUCUACUGCCUUAAGAUCACCUUCACUGCAGUUUCUCUUCAUCACUUGGAUCAGUACCCUCACCAGCUCGCCCAUCCUCUUGACCUCCCUCGCCACGUCUUCGUCCCUCAGUCUAUCCUUCCUCCUCCCCAUCCACUUUGCAAUCCAUCCUCUACAGCAUCCCUCAUUCUUCUUCUGCCUCUUGGUUGAUGUCCUGACCAUCAUUGUGCGUCUUCAGACCUUCCUCCAGGUUGAGUUCUAUUGAGGUCAGGUUCUCUUUGAUCCUCCUCAGACUCUCCUCGUUGGUGUUGGUCCACUGUGUCUUCUUGUCCAGCUGCUGCCUGCAGGGCCGGACAGUGGGGACCACCUCCAUCUGGCGUCACACCUUCUUCAGGUCACUCACAGAGGCAGAGAGGAGGAUGUUGGGCUUGGCCACAAUAAUCUCAACAGAUAUAGGGUCAAAAGACUGAGAUGUGACACACAUACACACAAAUUUAAGAGAUGCCUACCAGUCGAUGGUCCUUCAGUGGUCCAGUGAAGGAGUUACUCAAAAAAUGUGCGUGUGUAAGUGGGGGGAGGAGACAGACCGGUCAUCAUCCUCGUCCAUUUCCCUCACUUCAAACUUUGUCACUUUUCCAUCCUCAACUUUCAGUGGUGGUGUCCUCUUUUCAUGAUCCUCAUCAUCACACUGUUUAUCAGAGUCAACAUGUCAGAGACCAUCCUCCUCACAGUAUUGUCACUCAACAGACAUGUGCAGUAGGGUGCAACUCUUUUACCUCAGAUUCACAUUCAGUGAAGGAGUAGAUGGAAAAGUCAUCAGAACUGGAGGAUGAGAUCACGUCGUGAUAUUUUCUCUCUUCAGCCGAUUCACCCUUCCAGACUGAGGAGACAGAGAAAGGAAUGUACUCAUGGCAGCCAUAGAAUACACUGGCAUUGACCCUCAAGGAAAUGUAGAAUAUGUAGGAAAUCUAACAUGGUUGUACAAGUAGUGAGUAAUACAUGGGUAACUGAAAAUGCAAUAAAUGCAACUCCCGUAACAUUAGGGGUGGGGCUAAAGAUCUUCCAUAGAAUAGGAUUCUUUAGCAUCUCGAAUGGAUGAUUGUCAAUUCAACCAAGCCAACCAAAAUGGCCAUAUGGAUCAACAGAUUGAUCUUACUGUUGUGUCUAUGGGAACAGCAGAGAUGACCUGGCUGAGAGGCUCUGGAUUGAUGCUCCAUCCGUCCCUAGAUGUCUGGUCCUGCCCACAGCUCACAAUGAUUGGCUAUUAACAGUAAAGAAUGAAUUAAACACUGCUUUUCUCAUUGCAGAAUGUAUAACUAAUGUGCAUGUGUUACUGACGGUUGGCCACAUCACAGAAUCAGGGGUGUUUACCCUCAUUGGAUUCAUCCGUCAACACAUCACUCAAUUUAAAAGGUGAUAAUAUAACAAAAACAGGACAAAACAGACGGAAGGGUAGCCUAGUGGUUAGAGCGUUGGACUAGUAACCCGGAAGGUUGCGAGUUCAAACCCCCGAGCUGACAAGGUACAAAUCUGUCGUUCUGCCCCUGAACAGGCAGUUAACCCACUGUUCCCAGGCUGUCAUUGAAAAUAAGAAUUUGUUCUUAACUGACUUGCCUGGUUAAAUAAAGGUAAAAUAUAAAUAAAAAAAUGUACCACAUAAGGGCUGCAUGUUAAAGCUCUUUUGAUUCUCUCAUUAUUACGAUCCAUUGCUUUCUGGGGGAAACAUUUCCAUCAAUAUUGUAUGUAUAUAUAAUAUAUAUGUGUGAGUGUGUAUAUACACAGAUUUGGAUAACAUUAACUUAAGAGACCACUGCAAAAUGAUCCGUUUCUCUGGGUUUACUAUUUAUAGGUAUGUGUUUGGGUAAAAUGAACAUUUUUGUUUUCUAUAAACUACUGACAUUUCUCCCAAAUUCCAAAUGAAAUUAUUGUCAUUUAGAGCAUUUAUUUGCAGAAAAUUACAACUGAUCAAAAUAACAAAAACAGAUGCGGACCAGAUGCGGAUGUCAGACCUCUAAUAAUACUAAUAUUUUAACUUAGGAAGAGUUCUGAAAUCAUUAUUUGGUGGAAUAACCCUGAUUUUCAAUCACAGCUUUCAUGCGUCUUGGCCACCAGUCUUUUUCGUUGGUGUUGGGUGACUUUAUGCCAUCCUGGCUCAAAAAUUCAAGCAGCUUGGCUUUGUUUGAUGGCUUGUGACCAUCCAUCUUCCUCACAUUCCAGAAGUUUAAUGGGGUUCAAGUCUGGAGACUGGGCUGGCCAUGACAAGGUCUUGAUCUGGUGGUCCUCCAUCUUGAUUGACUUGACUGUGUCACAUUGUCCUACUGGAAAAAACAAUCCUCAGAGUUGGUGAACAUUGUCAGAGCAGAAGGAAGCAAGUUUUCUUCCAGGACAACCUUGUAAGUGGCUUGAUUCAUGCGUCCUUCACAAAGAUAAAUCUGCCCGAUUCCAUCCUCCACCAAAUUUCACAGCGGGUGCGAGACACUGGCUUGUAGGCCUUUGUCAAACCAUUAGACGACCAGGUGUUGGGCAAAGCUGAAAGUUGGACUCAUCGGAGAAGAUGACCUUACUCCAGUCCUCUACUAUUGUCUUUUGAAAACCUCAGCCUGGCUUUGCUUCUCAUUGAUGAAGGGCUUUUUUCUAGCUUUGCACAACUUCAGCCCUGCCCCUAGGAGCCUGUUUCAAACCAUCCUCACCGUGCACUUGGACUGGGAUUUGAUCUUGAAACCUUUUGGUUACUAGUCCAACGCUCUAACCACUAGGCUACCUGCCACCCCAAUGAACUGCUGUCUUUGAAAUGUUAAGGAUGGAAGCAUCCUGUAUCCCUCUGCCAGUAAAGCCCUUCUUUCCCUCACUCAAAAUGUUCCUUUUGAAGUCUUCUGGCAUGGUUAAUAGUUAUUUUUGGAUUCCAAUUACUUUUGAGGUACUACUAGCACUGAUUUAAACAUCCAGCAGGUCCUAUUGCAAGAGGAUAGUGAUGACCACAGCAGUGGUUUUUAUACUUUUCCUCGUUAAAUAAGAUUUGGUUCAGGUGAUCACCUAAUCAGUACCCCAUUCAGUAGAAUGAGGUGUGCCUGUGUUGGAAAUCAACAGACACUGGAAUGGAAUUUCUGCCAUACAUGUAGAGAUGCUGAUUACAGAAACAUUUGUUAAUUAUUUCCAGAGCUCUGAGUGUAUGUGGUACCCUGUAUACAGGUUGGGAAGGCUGUGCACCAAAGGCCAAUGGUUACCUGCAACAACCUGAGUGAGAAGAAAGAGAUUAUACAGUUGAAAUCAAAUCUGAACACAGUGCAUGUAGGGAAUUAAUGCUUGGUUACGUCAGAAUACGUCACAGCUUUAUGACUGCGCAUAAUACAUCGCAAGAGAAAGGCUUGUUUGGAGCCUAACUAGUGGUAUUGUCUUCUCACUGGUUGUAGCUAGCUGAAUAACGAAAGUGAUGUACAUAUUUCCUACUGACUGAGUAAUGGUUGUAUCGAUGGUUGGUUGGAUGUUUUUUUUUUUUACAUAGAUAGGCUAACAGGAUAUCAAUAGAAAGAAACCAUUCCGUGCCCCCCAAAAAAUAAUUUUGCACUUUGAGUAACAACCACUAAGGGACCACAAUGGAAUUCGUUGAUUUUAUUGCGUUGUCCCUGACACGUUUUAUUUUAUUAAACAGUUUUUUUUUUUUUUACUAAACUCAAAUAUAUCUAUCUCACUUUCUAUCUAACUCAAGUGGACUGUUGAGAACUCUGAUCAUCACAUUUCAGGCACAAGCCAGCAGGUGGCAGUGUCUUUAAAUGCAGCACUGCCUUAGUGCACUUCAUGAUCUGCGCAUCAAAUUUGGUUGUGAACGUGAUUAAUAAAAAUGCGGAAAUACAUUACAUUUGCUUUGGUUUAGCAAUCUAUCUACCCUGUCUUAGUUAAAGUGUUGUGCAAUAGUGGAGGACAGGUGUCGUAACUGACAUUUUUGUAUUGUGCUUGAUUAUCCACUGGUAUUAGUUUGACAUAUGUACUGAGCAUCAAAAAUCAGUUUUGAAAGAUGUGGUGGAAGAAUUUGGGGUGAGCUGUUGUAAACUUCUCAAGGGAUAUGUUCUGUGUUGGACUGUGAUGUUAUGUGUUUCAUAGACUACUGGUAUGUCUGCGUCGUAACACAAGGCCAUUGUGUUCCGGAACUAUUGAUUUAUAGAAGAAAUUGUUGUGUGAAUACAAUAUGAUUGUAUUAUCACCUCUCACUAUAUAAGGGACAUGUAACCAUUUCAUCCUUGCUGUGAAAUUAGAGGUGGCUCUCCUCUGCAGCUGCUUGUAUUAAAUAUGUUUAUUACAUUGUUAAAUAUAGGAUUAUCACCACAGCAAGCAAAGUACUUUAAGGUCAGGGCCCUCUGCAAGUCUCACAAAAUCAUUUUAGACCCAAGCCACCCCUUGUACCCGGACUUUGAACUACUCCCCACUGGGCACAGGUAUAGGGCACCCCUCAGCAAGAAAAACAGAACUAGACCAUCAUUUGUGCCAGGUGUGAUAUCCCUCCUAAAUAGCUCGGGCUGAUGUUCCUAUCGAAUCAGUAAGGCCAGCAGGCUAGUCAUUUUUUACAUGUUUUAUUGGUAUGUAACUGUUAUGAAAGUUGUAUUGUAAAUUUUGUUUUGUAUUUAAACGCCACUUUAAACGUGUACAUGGCACUGCAACAAAAUUUCCCCAUGGGGACAAUAAAGUCAGUAAGUAA
Oncorhynchus keta (chum salmon) is the source of this 7933-nucleotide long non-coding RNA. RefSeq lists it as uncharacterized. The transcript is spliced from 5 exons. The record is from RefSeq and is a predicted model, not a curated record. Lineage: Eukaryota; Metazoa; Chordata; Actinopteri; Salmoniformes; Salmonidae.